Molecule: ribosomal RNA, 1487 nt
Filed under: uncultured bacterium
Lineage: Bacteria
Description: partial 16S ribosomal RNA
Rfam family: Bacterial small subunit ribosomal RNA
Source: RNAcentral
AGAGUUUGAUCCUGGCUCAGGAUGAACGCUGGCGGCGUGCCUAACACAUGCAAGUCGAGCGGUAUAUAUUUAAAUGAAANNNNNNNNNNNNNNNNNNNNNNNNNNNNNNNNNNNNNNNNNNNNNNNNNNNNNNNNNNNNNNNNNNNNCAGAGGGAUAGCCUCGGGAAACCGGGAUUAAAACCUCAUAACGCGAGAGAAUUUCAUGAUUCUUUCGCCAAAGAUUUAUCGGUAUGGGAUGGGCCUGCGUCUGAUUUAGCUAGUUGGUAAGGUAACGGCUUACCAAGGCGACGAUCAGUAGCCGACCUGAGAGGGUAAUCGGCCACAUUGGAACUGAGACACGGUCCAAACUCCUACGGGAGGCAGCAGUGGGGAAUAUUGCACAAUGGGCGAAAGCCUGAUGCAGCAACGCCGCGUGAGCGAUGAAGGGCCUUUGGGUCGUAAAGCUCUGUCCUUGGGGAAGAAAAAAAUGACGGUACCCUUGGAGGAAGCCCCGGCUAACUACGUGCCAGCAGCCGCGGUAAUACGUAGGGGGCAAGCGUUAUCCGGAAUUAUUGGGCGUAAAGAGUGCGUAGGUGGUUUUAUAAGCGUGAGGUGAAAGGCAAUGGCUCAACUAUUGUAAGCCUUGUGAACUGUAAGACUUGAGUGCAGGAGAGGAAAGUGGAAUUCCUAGUGUAGCGGUGAAAUGCGUAGAUAUUAGGAGGAACACCAGUGGCGAAGGCGACUUUCUGGACUGUAACUGACACUGAGGCACGAAAGCGUGGGGAGCAAACAGGAUUAGAUACCCUGGUAGUCCACGCCGUAAACGAUGAGCACUAGGUGUUCGGGGUCGCAAGGCUUCGGUGCCGCAGUUAACGCAUUAAGUGCUCCGCCUGGGGAGUACGCACGCAAGUGUGAAACUCAAAGGAAUUGACGGGGACCCGCACAAGCAGCGGAGCAUGUGGUUUAAUUCGAAGCAACGCGAAGAACCUUACCAGGACUUGACAUCCCUCUGAAAGUCGCUUAACCGUGACCCCCCUUCGGGGCAGAGGUGACAGGUGGUGCAUGGUUGUCGUCAGCUCGUGUCGUGAGAUGUUGGGUUAAGUCCCGCAACGAGCGCAACCCUUGUCAUUAGUUGCCAGCAGUUUCGGCUGGGCACUCUAGUGAGACUGCCGGGGAUAACUCGGAGGAAGGUGGGGAUGACGUCAAAUCAUCAUGCCCCUUAUGUUUUGGGCUACACACGUGCUACAAUGGCUGGUACAGAGAGCAGCAAUAGAGUGAUCUGGAGCGAAUCUUUAAAGCCAGUCUCAGUUCGGAUUGUAGGCUGCAACUCGCCUACAUGAAGUUGGAGUUGCUAGUAAUCGCAAAUCAGAAUGUUGCGGUGAAUGCGUUCCCGGGUCUUGUACACACCGCCCGUCACACCACGGAAGUUGGGGGCGCCCGAAGUCGGUCUAUAAUCAGGCUGCCGAAGGUGAAAUCAAUAACUGGGGUGAAGUCGUAACAAGGUAACC